AGGACGAACGCUGGCGGCGUGCCUAACACAUGCAAGUCGAACGAGGCUUAUCCGGUAGCAAUACCGGAGACUGCCUAGUGGCGAACGGGUGAGUAGCACGUGAGCAACCUGCCCCGAAGACUGGGAUAACACCGGGAAACCGGUGCUAAUACCAGAUGCCCCCGCCGGAUCGCAUGAUCUGGUGAGGAAAGGAUUCCGCUUCGGGAGGGGCUCGCGGCCUAUCAGCUAGUUGGUGAGGUAACGGCUCACCAAGGCUUCGACGGGUAGC
Molecule: ribosomal RNA, 268 nt
Filed under: uncultured bacterium
Lineage: Bacteria
Description: partial small subunit ribosomal RNA
Rfam family: Bacterial small subunit ribosomal RNA
Source: RNAcentral